Molecule: unclassified non-coding RNA, 781 nt
Filed under: Zea mays
Lineage: Eukaryota; Viridiplantae; Streptophyta; Magnoliopsida; Poales; Poaceae
Description: misc RNA Zm00001eb431880
Source: RNAcentral
GAAAUUCCGAUCGAAUAGCUAGUGAAAGAACUUCAAAAAAGAAAACACAUGAGGAAGCUUGGAUCGAUUGUCACCCAUCGAUGAUUUAUUUGCAUUGAUAUAUAGAUCCAAGUCAAGAUACAAGAGGCGGCAUGGGAACGAUCAGAGACAAAUCCGUCGCCCCAUGCAUAUGAGCGUACACGACGAGUAAGAGAUCAGCACAAAAUUAAAGCAAGAUCAUCUCUAGCUACCUGCUGAGGGAACGAACAGCUAGCAGGGGACCAACAAGAAGUGAUGAGUGGGGGAACUCCAUGGGAGGCCUCUCCGGCCUCUCCUCCCACAGGCUACAGCUUGAGGAAGAAGAAGAACAGUCCUCGAUGCAUCUUCGAGUGAUGCUCUUCGAUCCAAAGGUACUUAUACUGCAAAUACCCCUCUCUCCGUCGCCCCCAAGCCGUUUUUUCUAUAGCUCAGAGCUGCUGGAAUUUGGACCUGACUUUGAAACAUGCCGUGUGGCCGUGUGGGGUUUGAAAGAGAUGACCUGCAUUGCAGUUGCAGGCAGCAGCGACAGGCCACAGCCCACAGGUCAGAUCAAGACGGAAGGGGGGUCGUGUACAUGCAUUGAACCUGGACGCCCCCCCGCCCUCUUCAGCUUUUGCAUUUGGGCGGCGUAUGGUUUUUGGCCUUUUGGGAUUUGGGAAUACGAGUCAUUGAUUCUCUCUGUGUCGUCCCGUCUCAACCUUUUUUUUUUUUUUUUGCUGCCUUUAUGCUGCAUGCCCAUUCAGCAGCCACGCACAAAGCCACA